Molecule: ribosomal RNA, 253 nt
Filed under: uncultured bacterium
Lineage: Bacteria
Description: partial 16S ribosomal RNA
Rfam family: Bacterial small subunit ribosomal RNA
Source: RNAcentral
UACAGAGGAGCCAAGCGUUGUCCGGAUUGACUGGGCGUAAAGCGCACGCAGGCGGUCGCGCGCGUGGGGUGUGAAAUCUGGCCGCUUAACGGCCAGGCGCCAUCCCAUACGGCGCGACUCGAGCCAUGCAGAGGGCGGUGGAAUUGCCGGUGUAGUGGUGGAAUGCGUAGAGAUCGGGAAGAACAUCGGUGGCGAAGGCGGCCUGCUGGGCCGUUGCUGACGCUGAGGCGCGACAGCGUGGGGAGCAAACAGG